This 492-nucleotide ribosomal RNA is filed under the name uncultured bacterium. Its description in RNAcentral is "partial 16S ribosomal RNA". It matches the Rfam family "Bacterial small subunit ribosomal RNA", at positions 29 to 507 of the family's 1533-position model. The record is from RNAcentral.
AGUGAACGCUGGCGGUAGGCCUAACACAUGCAAGUCGAACGGCAGCACAGUAAGAGCUUGCUCUUACGGGUGGCGAGUGGCGGACGGGUGAGGAAUACAUCGGAAUCUACUUUUUCGUGGGGGAUAACGUAGGGAAACUUACGCUAAUACCGCAUACGACCUACGGGUGAAAGCAGGAGAUCUUCGGACCUUGCGCGAUUGAAUGAGCCGAUGUCGGAUUAGCUAGUUGGCGGGGUAAAGGCCCACCAAGGCGACGAUCCGUAGCUGGUCUGAGAGGAUGAUCAGCCACACUGGAACUGAGACACGGUCCAGACUCCUACGGGAGGCAGUAGUGGGGAAUAUUGGACAAUGGGCGCAAGCCUGAUCCAGCCAUACCGCGUGGGUGAAGAAGGCCUUCGGGUUGUAAAGCCCUUUUGUUGGGAAAGAAAAGCAGCAGGUUAAUACCCCGCUGUUCUGACGGUACCCAAAGAAUAAGCACCGGCUAACUUCGUG